This is a long non-coding RNA of Dromaius novaehollandiae (emu), 1863 nucleotides long. RefSeq lists it as uncharacterized. The transcript is spliced from 4 exons. The record is from RefSeq and is a predicted model, not a curated record. Lineage: Eukaryota; Metazoa; Chordata; Aves; Casuariiformes; Dromaiidae.
UGAAACAGUGUUAAUUAGGGGGGGUCUGGAUUAUGUCCUCUUCUUCAGGACCUUGGAAGAUAACACCUACUGUCACUGCUGGGGCAGUGCUAAUUGCUGGAACAACACCUGUUGGUCAGGGCCCUGAGAAAGAAGGGCAGAACCCGAGGAAUCAAAACACAUUUGUCAGCAGAAACCGCAACAGUAAAGAUAAGGGAGAAAAACAGCCUGCCUGGGAACAACGAUGAGACCCAAUAGGGAGCAGGAGACCCCAAAGCCAAAAAUUACUAUUGGUCUGAACUACCGCGUGAGGGGUGGGAAACUUAAUUUGAAAAAGCUAUAAUUGCCCAGGGAUUUCUUUGUUCAGGGUCCCUCUUCAGAGGCACCCAACUCGAGCUGUAACUACUGCACGCAUGUCAUUAUUUAAUUUGCCUUGAUUUGGCUCCAAACUUUUCAGCGGGAACCUAGGGUCGGACCCUGCUCGAGUUGUAAUUACUGCACGCGCAUCGCUAAAAUUUACACCCAGGGUGAAGAGGACCAACGGGACGCCGCUGGAUCCACGGGUGGCACUGACAUUUACUACCAGAAAUGACCUGUGAUCUAGCUCAGUCACUGUCAUUCCUGCCCAUCAAAGAGCACAGAGAUUAUGAUGAAGAAUUAUGUAUAAGAAAUUAUAUCUGAAAGACCCUGUGUAAGUGGACAAGUGCGAUCAAAGAAGAGUUAAUCUACAACUUGGAAAUUUCACUCUGAGGUAAUGGAGUGCUCACUGCAGAACACCCAUCAGUUCAUAGACAUAAUGGCUAUCUAGUCUGAUCACCUGUCUGACAGGCAAAACAUCUUCAGGAUAUAGCCCAUACUGGGUGAAAGAUCCCUCUAUCUGUCUUGAAGGAUCUGUGCCAACCUCCAGCAUAAAAAUUAAAAAUGUAUAGAGAAAGAGAAAUGGAAGAUAAGAAAGAAUCUGAUUUUGCUACUGACUAAUGAAUUUCCUUCUCAUUGAAAUGAAGUCUCUGAGCAUAUCACCAGCCUUUAAUCACCAGUCUUUUAAGCAAAGAGUGGAUUGAGUCAUUACCACAAUUUUGGUGGCAUAAAAAAUACUGACCACAAAGGCAUUCUGUGGCAGCCUGUCUCCUAAGCAAGUGCUGCAGGACACCUUCCAGAUGGGCGUACUAGGAUAAAUAAAUGACACGUUACCAUUAGGAGGAAGAUGGUAUUAAGCUACUUACCCUGGGACAGUACCAAGGAUGAGCAGAGGUGCAACUCAAAGUGCUUGGGGAACUUGAAAGAAGAAAAGAAAUCAGCAGGUUUUAGAGCAUUGGCACCCUCAGGCUUGGACUUCAGCUGGCCAGAAGUUUUGAAUUAACAUUUCUCGGUGAACAUUUUGGUACCCAAACACUAGUUAAGUCCCGCUUUGGGCAUGUAGUCCUGCAUUGAGGCAAUCUUUUCUAGAGUACCUAGGAAGAUCAUGAUAUUAUUUAUUCUUAGCUUUCAGUCACUCAGCAGGUAAGUUUCACAGGUUGGUGCCUUGCCAAAUUUGUCGUAUGUUCCAAAUGAUUCUUUUAGAGCUUAUCAAAUGAAAAGGCAUAUUAUGCUCCUCUUCUGUAAAAAAGCCACUCAUUUAUUUUACAGUAUGCAUAUUCCUUCAAUUGGCUUAUAAAUGCUUUGUUUGAAGAUGGCACUUCAGAAUGCUUAUGAGAGCUGCUUUCUUAAGUGUGGAAGAAAAUGCUUCAUUCCAAGAGUUUCUAUAAAAAAGAAAAUAGGCAUCAAUUUUUGUCUUCUCAGUAUAUUAAAAUUAUGCUGAGCAGCUAAUGCCAGCUAUUGCCACAUACUUUGAGAUAAAUGCUCUGUUAUAGAGAAACGAACCUUAAAUAAAUUCUUCAAAUCCAA